UGUCAUGAUCCUGCCCUCGUGUCCUUGAUUUUUCCUAGUCUUGAGGCAGGAUCAUGACAGACCCUUGUUUUGUGUACAAGCGCAUGGCCUUGUCUUUGGGCCAUGUGCUUGUGUUGUCUCGUUCCCUUGCCCCGCCCCCCUUGUUAACCUAGUCGUGUCUUGAUUGUCCCAUCUGUGCCACCUGUCGUGUCUUGAUUGUUUCCCCUAUUUAGAUCUCCUAGUGUGCUCUGUCUUGCGUCGGUUCAUUGUACCUGUCAUUGUGAUUGUACCUCAACUGUGUCCUACAUCGUGAUUGUGUGUGAGAUUGUGCUGUACCCGCUGAAGUCCUUGUAUUACCGUGAGUGUUUAUAGUUAGUAUUUAGAGUCCUUGUUUAUCUUGUCAGUCCAGUCCCGUUUUAGUUAUUUAGUCUUUACCUUGCUCCGUGUUUUCCCCCUCGUGGGUUUUGUUUUCCCCUUUUUGUAAUAAACCCUUUGUUUGAGAA
This is a long non-coding RNA of Carassius gibelio (silver crucian carp), 482 nucleotides long. RefSeq lists it as uncharacterized. Lineage: Eukaryota; Metazoa; Chordata; Actinopteri; Cypriniformes; Cyprinidae. The transcript is spliced from 2 exons. The record is from RefSeq and is a predicted model, not a curated record.